GUGGUGGCUCAGUGGUAGAGUGCACGCCUAGCAUGCAUGAGGCACUGGGUUCGAUCCUUGGCACCACA
RNAcentral lists this transfer RNA (68 nucleotides) under Marmota marmota marmota (Alpine marmot). It matches the Rfam family "tRNA". Rfam says of the family: Transfer RNA (tRNA) molecules are approximately 80 nucleotides in length. Their secondary structure includes four short double-helical elements and three loops (D, anti-codon, and T loops). RNAcentral also lists the same sequence under 1 other name. The record is from Rfam by way of RNAcentral. Lineage: Eukaryota; Metazoa; Chordata; Mammalia; Rodentia; Sciuridae.